This 231-nucleotide long non-coding RNA is filed under the name Elaeis guineensis (African oil palm). RNAcentral describes it as "long non-coding RNA (EGUI_LNC070580)". The record is from RNAcentral. Lineage: Eukaryota; Viridiplantae; Streptophyta; Magnoliopsida; Arecales; Arecaceae.
UAGGUUUUCACCCGAUGCCUCCCCGCAAGGCAUCCAUGCGGCGAUCCAUGGCCUCUGCGGCCAGAUCUCAGGCUCCGACCUCACCUCCAGUUUCCCAGCCUCCUCCCCCUCCUCCGACAAUGGUGGUUGGAGUGGAGCAAUUCGACCUACUGGUGCAGCAGGUCAGAGGCCUCACUAAAGCUGUACAGGCCAUUCAACAGCAGCAGCAGCCGUAGGCAUUAGUGUGAUUGG